ACACUCUUAACUUAAUAGGUAAAGUUAUAAUCUUCGAAAUUAUAAAUAUAGGUUCAAUUCCUAUAGAGUGUU
Molecule: transfer RNA, 72 nt
Filed under: Coemansia erecta
Lineage: Eukaryota; Fungi; Kickxellomycota; Kickxellomycetes; Kickxellales; Kickxellaceae
Description: tRNA-Arg
Rfam family: tRNA
About the family: Transfer RNA (tRNA) molecules are approximately 80 nucleotides in length. Their secondary structure includes four short double-helical elements and three loops (D, anti-codon, and T loops).
Source: RNAcentral